Molecule: long non-coding RNA, 569 nt
Filed under: Xyrichtys novacula (pearly razorfish)
Lineage: Eukaryota; Metazoa; Chordata; Actinopteri; Labriformes; Labridae
Source: RNAcentral
AUCCUGUGCUGAGAGCCCGAGUGUCCAAAACAUUCUUCCCCAGCCGCACACACUGACUCCAUUCCGUCAGGAAGUCUGUGAUCCACCUGCAGGUGGAGUCAGGCACAUGGAGCAGGGAAAGCUUGUUCUGGAGCAAAGCCAGAAGGAUGGUGUUGAAUGCAGAGCUGAGGUGCACAAACAGGAUCCUAGCGUAGGAUCCUGGGGAGUUCAGGUGGUGCAGGAUGAAAUGCAGGGCCAGGUUUAUGGCGUCGUCUACAGACCUGUUGGCUCUGUAGGCAAACUGCAGAGGGUCCAGGAGGGGGUUGGUGAUGGACUUCAGGUGGGAUAAAACCAGGCGUCCAAAGGUCUUUAUGACUACAAACGUAAGAGCCACUGGCCUGUAGUCAUUAAGUCCAGUUACGUUAAGUUUUUUGGGGACGGGAACAAUGGUGGAGGACUUCAAAUAGGCUGGAACAUGGCAUGACUCCAGGGAGGUGUUGAAGAUCCCCGUGAAGACUGGAGCUAGCUCAUUAGCACAGUGUCUCAGAGUGGCAGGAGAGACACAGUCCGGGCCAGCAGCCUUGUGUGGA